RNAcentral lists this transfer RNA (79 nucleotides) under Schizophyllum commune H4-8. RNAcentral describes it as "tRNA-Glu". It matches the Rfam family "tRNA". Rfam says of the family: Transfer RNA (tRNA) molecules are approximately 80 nucleotides in length. The record is from RNAcentral. Lineage: Eukaryota; Fungi; Basidiomycota; Agaricomycetes; Agaricales; Schizophyllaceae.
UCGGAUAUGGUGUAACGGCCAACAUUGCCGCCUCUCACGCAGUGCGCGGCAGCUCGGGGUUCGAUUCCCCGUAUCCGAA